Molecule: long non-coding RNA, 2105 nt
Organism: Bubalus bubalis (water buffalo)
Lineage: Eukaryota; Metazoa; Chordata; Mammalia; Artiodactyla; Bovidae
Exons: 9
Source: RefSeq, a predicted model, not a curated record
GCGACCCCAUGGACUGCAGCCUUCCAGUCUCCUCCAUCCAUGGGAUUUUCCAGGCAAGAGUACUGGAGUGGGGUGCCACUGCCUUCUCCUGUAUGUAUGUAUAGCAACCAGUAUAUGUACACAUUUCUAUAUCUAUUUCUGUAAUUGUUGUUAUUCAGUCGCCAAGUCAUGUCUGACUCUUCAAGAAAUAUGUAUUCCUAUAAUACAUAAUUACAAACAUAUGUAUUUCUGUAAUAUAUGUAUUUUAAAAUAAACUUAGGUUCACAUUGAUAAUAUAUCAAACUCUUAACCUAGCACUUAUAUUAACAUUCAGGUCAACAUAAAGAAUUUUUUCUUUAGUAUCCAUUGAUAUGUUUUAUUUCUAUUUUUUAGAAAGAAUUUAUUUUUAAAGAUGGCCUAUAGCUACAACUAUUAUAUAGAUCCACUUCUACAUAAAAAUAACAUUUCUUAAUAGCUAAGUAUUUUUAAAAUAUACAGUUACGCUUAUUUUAACACCCCUUAUUCACACUCACAAAUGUCCCCAUCUGGAUAAUAAACUCUAAAAUGACCCUGAAGUGACUCAAUCUGAGCUCAGUAGACCCUUUGAAUGCUGUGAUUUAGAGCAAAGCCCCUCAAGCUGUUAGGUCCAUACGAGUCACCUGAGGAUCUUGUUACACUGCAGACUCUGACUCAGUAGGACUUGGUGGGGGAGGGGCCUGAGAGUCUGCAUUUCUGACAAGCUCCCAGGUGACACGAGUGCUGCAGGGGUGCAGACUGCUUUGAGUGACAAGGCUAAAGAUGACGAUGAUGGUCAUUACAUGAGCUUUCAUUACAUGAGUUGCCUGUGUCGCCAGUCCUAUCCAGUCUUGCUAUCUUCCUUACUCCAGGCUCCACUCCUACUGAACUCAGUAACCACUAUGAUUCCACUUGGGUCUGUAGCUCUUUUCUGCAUUUUGACACCUAUUCGUGUUUGGAGGUGUAUGAUCAGUCCACUCAAAAUGGCUGUUCUCUUGCUCUCUGUCUAUCCCCCUACUUGACCCGUGCCUGCUUCACCUAGACCCUACUGACAAGACUCACCUGCUCUCUUAAUCAGAGCCUAAUCUGUAGAUGCCUACAUACUUGCCCCAGGCCCCACUCGGUGGCUGUUCUAAUCUUUAAAUCAGAACUCUCCACCAUGAUAACUUCUCAAAGGGAUGGUGAAGGGCAGGCGCCUCUGCUGGUUUCCCUGGUAACCAGUGAGCCCACCUGAAGUCAAUUCCCUUUGUAGCUGGUAACCUCCCUGUCUGUGGUAGUGAAGACUGUUGCUGUGUCUUGCUCACCCUUCCUCAUACAUAGAGGGGGUGUCGCUCCCGGACCUUGCUUCUGAUGGGCAAAACAAAGGCCAAACGCAGAGGAGUUCUUGCUCAAUAAACGGGAAGUAACAAAUGAAGGAAUCUGGAAGCAGAGUGAACAGCUAGCUGAAUGGUGCCUUUGUCCACAAUUUCACAGGUCAACAGGUGAGGAAGAAAUUCACCCUCAAAACUGCAGCAACACCAACUCCUUUCUGGGUUUCCAGCUACCCUGUCCUACAGAUUUCAGACCUGCAGCCUCUUCAGUCAUGUGUCAAGAUCCUCCCCCCAGCACAUCAUACCAAUAGAAGCAAGCUUUGUAUACUUGUGAGCCUGUAGGCAUAAACAUUUUAAGUGUGGAGGACGGGCCUCUAAAAGAAGACUUGAGGGACUUCUGGCAAAAUAGAGCAGAAAAUCCUCACUCGCAGGAGCUAUUUAAAGUCUCUGGCCUUGCAUUGAAACUGCGGAUUUGGCAGGAGCAGGUUUCAGCUGGAUUUUCUGGGCACUUUUAGACAAAGAAGUUACAAAUGAUGCAAGAAAUUGGGGUGGAAAAGCUAGAAUGAACCCAAGCAGCAGCGUCUGACGGUUGAUCUCGGGUCUCUUCAGCUGAUGCGGGCUUGCUCCGGGCAGAAAACAAGAUGGCUCACUGCCUGCUCUCUCGCGGUCCUGAGGAGAUAGUCACAGUGCUGCCUCACUCCCAGUAUAAGACCUGAGAGGCAGCAGGAAUUUGCUUAAUGGUCCAGGUACACCGCUCCCUCGGUGGCUCAGAGGGUAAAACACCUGCCCGCAAUGCGGGAG